AGUGAACGCUGGCGAUAGGCCUAACACAUGCAAGUCGAACGGCAGCACAGUAAGAGCUUGCUCUUACGGGAGGCGAGUGGCGGACGGGUGAGGAAUACAUCGGAAUCUACUUUUUCGUGGGGGAUAACGUAGGGCAACUGACGCUAAUACCGCAUACGACCUUCGGGUGAAAGCAGGGGAUAUUCGGACCUUGCGCGAUUGAAUGAGCCGACGUCGGAUUAGCUAGUUGGCCGGGUAAAGGCCCACCAAGGCGACGAUCCCUAGCCGGUCGGGGAGGAUGACCAGGCCCCAUGGAAGGAGGCCUCCGUCCAGACCCCUGUGGGAGGGAACAGUGGGGAACAUUGGACAAUGGGCGCAAGCCUGAACCAGCCAUACCGCGUGGGUGAAGAAGGCCUCCGGGUUGUAAAGCCCUUUUGUUGGGAAAGAAAAGCAGCAGGUUAAUACCCCGCUGUUCUGACGGUACCCAAAGAAUAAGCACCGGCUAACUUCGUG
RNAcentral lists this ribosomal RNA (492 nucleotides) under uncultured bacterium. RNAcentral describes it as "partial 16S ribosomal RNA". It matches the Rfam family "Bacterial small subunit ribosomal RNA", at positions 29 to 507 of the family's 1533-position model. The record is from RNAcentral.